Non-coding RNA from Epinephelus lanceolatus (giant grouper), 1106 nucleotides. NCBI's taxonomy places the organism in Eukaryota, Metazoa, Chordata, Actinopteri, Perciformes, Serranidae. The record is from RefSeq and is a predicted model, not a curated record.
GAUAACGGGUCGAUGCCAUUACAUCCCACACAGGAGCUGGUGGACAGAGGUACUUUGGCCUCGGAGAAAUAUAAAAUGUCGCUGUCAGUCGGUCGGGUCGCUGAGAGACGGGACCAGGAGUCAGCUCGAAUAAUGAUGACAAUAUGAUGCUGCAGCUCGGCUCAGGGCCAGGUCAAGCAAAGCACCCCAGACAUCCCUCGUCCCAGCAACACUUUCCAGCUCCUCCUGGGGGACCCCGAGGUGUUCCCAGACCAGAUGAGAUGUGUAAUCCCUCCAGUGUGUUCUGGGUCUGCCCCAGGGCUUCCUACCAGUGGGCCGUGCCUGGAGCACCUCUGACAGGAGGCUUGCUGAUCAGAUGUCCGAACCACCUCAACUGACCCCUUUCAACGAGGACACAUUGAGAAAAUGGCCUGACCUGACUCAUCAUGGAGGAGCUCCCAGGCUGAAACACAACAUGCAACAGAGAUGCCCUGUCUGAACAUGGGACUGUUGAUCCUCAUGAGUAGAAACACGGAGAGCAUUUGUGGAAAUGUGUUUCAUGGAGAAGUGCAGUGAUGCACGCACACCGGCCAAAAGAAACACAGUUGCCACGACUGACUUCCAGACUGUGAGGGCCCGAGGUUGGUAUGUUAACACUCACUGUUAUGCAGCAUUAGUAUUCCUCACACUAAAGAAGUCACCACUGAGGCAUGGCCGAAUUCUGUUCCAGCUAGUCUGUGUUGGAUUCAGUCAGACACCAUGCGAAAACCAGGUCUCAUUUCUGCUGAAUGACUGGAUGAGUGCUUCAGUCAGCUUCAUCCAACUGUACAGGAAUGAGUACAACAAUGAUGGUACACUUGGAAAUAUGAGAUGCUGCUCUGACAGCAGUCCUGUUGGUUUUGUAUUGAUUUUAUUCUGUUUUCUAAAUUCUGCAGAUACCAGUGGCUGCAUCUGAAGCAGGAACGUGAGGGAAAGUCGACUCCUUUGUCUGUUUUAACUUCACUCUACCAACAUCUCAACAUUGGAAAUCCGUUUUGUGCUUAAACUAGCACCACCAGGAUAACUGUCAAGACUUGAAAGAUGUAUCUCACUCUUCUGUUGAAAUAAACUUCUAAUUGUGUUCAAAA